UGGUUCAGGACAACAUUGGGAAACCGAUGCUAAUACUGGAUAAGCCCUUACGGGGAAAGUUUUAAUGCCACAAGAUGAGCCCGCAUUUGAUUAGUUAGUUGGUGAGGUAAUGGCUCACCAAGACAAUGAUCAAUAGCUGAUCUGAGAGGAUGAUCAGCCACACUGGGACUGAGACACGGCCCAGACUCCUACGGGAGGCAGCAGUGGGGAAUCUUGCACAAUGGAGGAAACUCUGAUGCAGCGAUGCCGCGUGAGUGAAGAAGGCCUUUGGGUUGUAAAGCUCUUUUGUAGGGGAAGAUAAUGACUGUAUCCUAAGAAUAAGGUCCGGCUAACUUCGUGCC
This 341-nucleotide ribosomal RNA is filed under the name uncultured Pseudomonadota bacterium. RNAcentral's name for it is "bacterial SSU rRNA". It matches the Rfam family "Bacterial small subunit ribosomal RNA", at positions 134 to 509 of the family's 1533-position model. Lineage: Bacteria; Pseudomonadati; Pseudomonadota. The record is from RNAcentral.